GUGGAGUCGCUGUAGUACUCAGCCUCACAAACUGGAAACACAUUAGAACGUUAAACAGGCUGCUGCUGCCAUCAGCGUUCUGUAACGGGGUCAGAGGUCAACAAACUCAGAGGUCAACAUUAAAUCUCUACUUUCUGUCUCAUAGUUAGUGGAACAAUUAUCUCAAUAUUAAAAUUA
This is a long non-coding RNA of Xiphophorus couchianus (Monterrey platyfish), 177 nucleotides long. RefSeq lists it as uncharacterized. The record is from RefSeq and is a predicted model, not a curated record. The transcript is spliced from 2 exons. Lineage: Eukaryota; Metazoa; Chordata; Actinopteri; Cyprinodontiformes; Poeciliidae.